AAAGAAAUAUUUUUAAAAAAAGCUUCUAACUUUUUGAAAAGCAUAAAUAUGUUUAU
RNAcentral lists this transfer RNA (56 nucleotides) under Microtrichalus sp. BM0167. RNAcentral describes it as "partial tRNA-Ser". The record is from RNAcentral. Lineage: Eukaryota; Metazoa; Arthropoda; Insecta; Coleoptera; Lycidae.